Long non-coding RNA from Leopardus geoffroyi (Geoffroy's cat), 3684 nucleotides. RefSeq lists it as uncharacterized. The transcript has 3 exons. The record is from RefSeq and is a predicted model, not a curated record. NCBI's taxonomy places the organism in Eukaryota, Metazoa, Chordata, Mammalia, Carnivora, Felidae.
AAAGAGGGACAGAGGCAGGGAUGUUGUAAGUGUCUUGAAAUUCUACUUGACAACACUUAGUACACUGCCGGCAGAGAGACCACGGCAAAGCAGCCACCAGGAAUGUCUUCUGGAAGCAAGAGGACGCUGGGUUAGGGAGGAACCUGUUACCUGCAGGGAGAAGCACCAGAAUCGCUCUGAGUUAGGCCCUUCCUGCUUCCUAGGCUCCGGUGUCUUUUUCCGCCUCCAGCCCUCCACCCUUGACGUUGGACAACCGCCUCUGGCCGCCGGGUGCGGGUGGAAGGCUCCCCAGAGCCUCUUCAAGACGUGGUGUCAAGGAAGUGAGUCCAUACAGGCGGAAAACCCCAAAAGAGUCGGAAGGUGCUGCUGGCCCCAUGACAUUUCAGGUGGAAACGCAGGCCUGGGGAAGACCACCUACUAGCGUAAUUUCAGAGCCUCAGAAUCCUUCAUCUCGGAUGGGGCUCAGUAACACCCACCUCGAUGGGUUGCUGUAAGGAUUAGAUGAAAACUGAUAGCCUGCUUCACUCCAUGUUACUUCCUUCCUCCCCAAAAUGCCAUGUUUUAGUCAAGGUCCAGCAGUGAUGCAGUAUCCUGGUGUAAAACGCCAUUUUUAGACUUUUCAUAAGAUAAUUUCAGAUUUCUAGGUGAAGCAUGGAAACCAAAUAAGUCCUGGAAGCUGAAACUGGGGAUUGCUUUCACGGGAGGUGCUGGGCUGGGUCCUUCUGCGCUCAGUGUCAUCUUGACUCUGGCAGUAGGAUUGGCCCAGCCAGUUGGUCUGGGUGCCUGCCGAGCCCACAGCCUGACUCAGGGAAGAGCCAGGCUUGCUCUGCAACAUGGGACUCUCCUGGCCACCACUGUUGGGCCCUGACCCAAGGACAGCUAAGCCAUGAGCUCCAAGUAAACCUUGAGGUGCUCAGAGUGAGGUGACUAGUUAGCUUAGCAAGUAAAUAACUCAGCGGGCCUCCUCUCAAAUAUUUCAGUGGGAAUAUGGAGAGAUCGAGGCAUGACAUAGUGGACGGCCACAAGGGAAGAUGUGAAGCAGGUCUCUUAGUCAUGGGAACUUAGGAGCACGUUCUCUUGAACUCCCUAGGCUCUAGCAGCUUUCUUGUUCCAGGGCUCCAUGAGGCUGUCUGUCCAUUUUUGCCAGAUGUCCGUCUUCCUCAUCGCCAUGGGUGUUUUAGAGUAAAUUCCCAGUACUUGAAGAAACCAGAGUGAGUGCCUGUCCCUUACAACUCAAAGGCCCACCUUUUAUUAGGCCUGUCUAAAUAAUGUAAGGCUGUUCUCUAACCAUAAGCAGCCAGGGUGGGGAGAGGCAUAUAAUGGGCACAAUAUAAAACCGUUCAGAAGAGUUGUCCUUUAUCAGUUAGUAAGGGCCUCCCUGCUGUCAGAGGAUCUGCUGUAAAAUCUCAAGAAAUAACUUCUCAUAUCCCAACACUGUUUUCUCUGUCCUUGGAGACGGUCGGGAAGAGGGGACAAGACUGAUUUACUUAGUCCUUUGUGCUGGUGGGGCCUGGCUGGGGCUGAAUUUAUGUCAUUGCUCUUCAUCAAGAAUGUGGCUUUCUCCCUCUGAUGAGAUGUCCCUCAGCAUUGAUUGUUAGCUCGGAGCUUGCUGAGAGAUUAAACUUGGGCUCAGACAACCCAGUGGGGGUCGAUGGCCCAGGAAAGAUUAUGAUAAGGCAGGGGUGAGGGACAGGAAGGAGGGUGGUGUGCUGGAAUUUAGGAUAAUUGAAUUUGCUGUGCAGCCAGCAGUUAUGACCUGGGUCAUCCGCUGGAUCUUGGGUCGUAAAUCCACUAAGACCAGGAAAUUCCAGGGUUAGGCCAAUCUUUCCAUUUUUUCUCAGAGACUAAGAUGGUUGAGGAUUUAGAGAGAAAUGGUUUUCACCUUCUAAAGAAGCUGUGACUCUGAGCAAACUAAUAUUUUUGCAUUACGAUACUUAACGUGUAUUUCGGAAACCAAGUAUCAGUCCCUCCGUCUUUUUGUCAAGUUUCUCCCAGGAAAACCAGCAGGACCUCCUAUUUAUGGACAAUUGUCUAUCUGCUCUGAUUACCCAAAGUGCUGGAGGUGGAGUGGGCUCCCUCCAGGGGCCUACUGCUUGUGAAUUAUGAGACCCUGUUUCGACUCCAAUUUUCUCUCCAUUGCCUUUCGGGCAUUUGCUAAGGCAAAGCUGUGGGACCAUUUGUAAUUAACCCACAACAAACUGAACAGCUGAUCUCCUGAAAUCUAGAUAUUUCUUGCAAAGUAAGACUUGACCUAAGGCACACUGUAUGCAAGUAAUUUUUAUGGUGUCUCCAGAAUUUUCUGGAAAUGCUACAAAUACUCCAGGAUAUUCCUCUUGGAAUGAACCAAAUUUCCCAUAGGUGAGGUGCUUGAAUCCUCUGGGUGAAUGCAGGUGUCCUAAGAAUGUAGGACAGCUUAGGGGAUGACUGUGUCUUUGGCCACACAGGUUAUUGUGGGGAUGGAAAUCCUCACUUUCCUCUGCUACCCUCUCUUCACUUCCAUCUGACCAAAAUCUUCAAGGGUUGGCUUUGAGCACAACCACCAAGUCUAGGAUUUGUUGCUGGAUUGAAGCCACUUGGAAAUUUGGAUCAAUGGGAGUUUUGUGUCUUGGAUUCUGAUAAGAUGAUCACUGAAGUUCAUUAAACAUUUAGCAUGGAAAGAAGACUGAGAACCAUCUUUGGCAGGUUUUAGCUACAAUCCAAAUUCAAUUUGCUUUUCAGAAUCAGUGGCAAGUUCCUAUUUCUUCCCUAUAGACUACGUCCCUUGGGAGAGACAGCUUGAAUUCUUCACACAACGGUCUCAGGUGGAUAUGCGUAUUGGUUUCCAAGUAGUCAAAUAUUCUAUUAUGAUUUUUUUUAAGACAAAACUUUGAGUUAUUCAGAAAAAAACUAGGUAAGUGGAGGUUCUUAAAAAAGACAAGGACCGAGCAAAGGAAAGGGAAGUUGUCAGGAAAAGCUGGGGUAUCUGGAAAGUAUUGCUAAAGUAUGUGUGGUACUUGAUUAAAUAUUUCUGAAAGCCAGAGCCUAGAGGCAGUACAAGAAUCAUUGGGAAAGAAAUACUGCAUAUUCUGGGGAAACCAAUCAGUACCAAACACUGGCUUGGUAAAAAUUGCCAGCAAAUUAUAAUAGUGCUCUGGUCUUAUACUUUAACUGUAUCUCUCACGUGUUUAUUUUCUCUGUGUGUCUCUGGAGUUAACCAUAAAGACUCGGGAUAGACACCUUACCCUGCCUCUCAGACCUGCAGGGCAGCUGGACCCUGGACAUGUUCUGCCAAGCAGGUGCAGUUUGACAAACAACAGGCAUGUAUCAGACCCUUCCAUAAAGCCACGCACUUGCUAAGUCCUAGGAAUUAAAAAGAAAACAUUGGACACAGCUCCUGCCUUUCAUGUCCUUAUAGUCUAAUGGAGGACACAGGCCUUCAAAUACAAAUAGAUCUGGACCUUAGCACCGAUUGAUAAUCAAAAGUAAUUAAAAAGUUGAUGCCAUUCUUAACCCCAGCCUCCCUCAAAAAACACUUGUGGCAUAUCCGAGAGUAUCGUUUUUCCACACUGGCCAGACAUAUCCUUCCCCAUCUCCUUCCACUCUCUCCCCUGGAUACCCAGCUCAAGAUUAUUUGUUUCAUUUAGGAGUGCCUGGGUGGCUCAGUUGGUUAAGUGUCAGACUUCCACUCAGGUCAUGAUCUCAUGG